UACGUAGGUGGCAAGCGUUGUCCGGAAUUAUUGGGCGUAAAGCGCGCGCAGGCGGUCCUUUAAGUCUGAUGUGAAAGCCUACGGCUCAACCGUGGAGGGUCAUUGGAAACUGGGGGACUUGAGUGCAGAAGAGGAAAGCGGAAUUCCACGUGUAGCGGUGAAAUGCGUAGAGAUGUGGAGGAACACCAGUGGCGAAGGCGGCUUUCUGGUCUGUAACUGACGCUGAGGCGCGAAAGCGUGGGGAGCAAACAGG
RNAcentral lists this ribosomal RNA (253 nucleotides) under uncultured bacterium. RNAcentral describes it as "partial 16S ribosomal RNA". It matches the Rfam family "Bacterial small subunit ribosomal RNA", at positions 524 to 776 of the family's 1533-position model. The record is from RNAcentral.